GUGGGGAAUAUUGGACAAUGGGCGAAAGCCUGAUCCAGCCAUGCCGCGUGUGUGAAGAAGGUCUUCGGAUUGUAAAGCACUUUAAGUUGGGAGGAAGGGCAGUAAGUUAAUACCUUGCUGUUUUGACGUUACCGACAGAAUAAGCACCGGCUAACUUCGUGCCAGCAGCCGCGGUAAUACGAAGGGUGCAAGCGUUAAUCGGAAUUACUGGGCGUAAAGCGCGCGUAGGUGGUUUUGUAAGUUGGAGGUGAAAUCCCCGGGCUCAACCUGGGAACUGCCUCCAAAACUGCAUGACUAGAGUACGGUAGAGGGUAGUGGAAUUUCCUGUGUAGCGGUGAAAUGCGUAGAGAUAGGAAGGAACACCAGUGGCGAAGGCGACUACCUGGACUGAUACUGACACUGAGGUGCGAAAGCGUGGGGAGCAAACAGGAUUAGAAACCCCAGUAGUCC
This 450-nucleotide ribosomal RNA is filed under the name uncultured bacterium. RNAcentral describes it as "partial 16S ribosomal RNA". It matches the Rfam family "Bacterial small subunit ribosomal RNA", at positions 354 to 796 of the family's 1533-position model. The record is from RNAcentral.